GGAACAGGGGAUCAGAAACAUGGAGUUACCUGCUCAAGGUCACACAGCUAAUAAAUACUGAAGCCAGAACUUGACUCUGAGCAACACGACCUAGAGCUGUAGGUCUUAUGGGGGCGGGGGGGGGGCGUGUUUUGUUUGUCGUCUUUGACUUUUGCAGUCCUGGGGAUGGAACUCGGGGCCCACGGGUGCUAAGCCAGUGCUCUGACGCUGAGCCACACCCCGGCCUUCUUACUUUUGGCAGCCUUGCUCUGUGCUGAGGCUGGCCUUGAACUUGCAGUGCUCCUGCCUCGGCCUCCUGGGUAACUGUGACUGCAGGUGUGGGCCACGUGCCAGGCCACAGCUUAGAGUCUGUAGCCACGGGGAUGCUCUGGGGAGGGGUGGGGGGAGACGUGUCCCUUCAUUGCUGCCUGUGGGCUGUGGUCGCUCCCCCCAACCUCAGCUCCCGAGGCCCAGGGUGGUGCCCAAGAGCAGGAAGGGGCUCAGAAUGUCCUUGCCACCUGUCUGGCUGGCUUCAGGAGGAACAAGCCCCACACAUUCCUGGCCCACAGAAAGGAGCUGGGAUCGGCCACCCCAGCAGGCCCACAAAUCACUCAUGGGACGAUUUCUCUCAAGAUAAUCCCCUAAGUGGCUGCAGGAAGGGUCCCGCGGGCUGCAGCCCACAGGCUUCUUUAGCCAGCCUGAAAGCAAGACGAGGGUCCCUGCAGCUCUUGGUGACUCCUGGGACAUAGACUGCUCCAGUCCCAGGGGAAGGGGCAAAGAGCUUGCUCUACGUGACACCUGGGCAUUCCGGGGACGCGAUUAGGCUCCUGUUUUGCAGCCUGGCAAGCGCUCUGCGCCUGAGCCACACCCAGUCCUCGUGGGCAUCUUUAACACGGGAAGACGCGGCUGUGUCCCUCCACGUUCCCCAAAGGCUGACCCAGGCUCCCAGCUGGACAGGCCAAGACAGACAGGGGCUGGCCCUGCUCAACCUCCCUGCCCACUGCCGCCCAGCCACAGGGCGUCAUCUCCUGCUGGGACGACUGCAGGAGCCUGCCCACUGUCCCCAGGCCCGCUCCCCUUCAGUCUCCUCCCCUGCUCGCCACCCUCCCCGGACCACCCUGGCUGAGAUCCCGGAGGUGGGGCCGGAGCGUGGGGAGGAAGUGGAGCAGUGCAGAGCCUGGUGGAAGGUGCCGUUGUGCGGUUGCUCUGGAAACCAGCCUGGAAGUUCCUGGGGAGGAAGGCGGCAGCUACCCCAUGACCAAGCUCCUUCCCCAGAAGAACUGAAAACACAUGCUCCUGCAGGAACGCGCACAGAUGACCCGAGCAGUCAACAAGUGGGGUCGCCUGGUGUCCCUGAGCCGGGCCCGGGCCCAUGAGGCGUGCUCGAUGCUCACCCGGGAUAACAGUCUUCUGCCUGAUGAAAGGAACGGGGUCUGUCCGGGCUGCAGUGGGGAGGGUCCUGAGCGCACGCAAGUGACAGGAGCCAGCCACGGUGGCCACGGGCUACGGAUCUCAUCUGUACGGCGCACCCAGAAGGGGAGGCGAGAGGCCAGAGUGCAUUAGUGCCCCUCCCUUUGGUGGGGGCAGGGGAGGGGCGGGGAUCCUUGUCAGGGCUGUGGGGUUUCCUUUCAGAGGCGGUGGGAAUGUUCUGGAACGAGCCGUGGGAGCAUUGGAGCCUCCCAGUGAGCACAGCGAGUGCCACUCCAGUGGGGCUCCCCUGGAAUCCCAGCUGCUCUGGAGGCCGAGGCAGGAGGACCCCAAGCUUCAGUCUGGCCUGGCCAGCUUCGGGAGACCCUGGCUCUCCCGCCACCAGAGGACAUGUCUGGACACCGUGGGUUUUGGUGUGUUUUUAAAUCCAGUUUUCUGUUACAGGUCCCGCAAGAGGGCCUGGCCCACGGUAGAGCUGGGGUUUCCCAGCCCCCUCCCAGCCCCCUGCCCUUCUGCCACUGUGCCCAUGAGGAGGUGGCUCUGUCUGGAGUGUGGCCCCCCGUGCUGGAAGCUUAAUCCCCCAUGACCAUGUUGGGAGGAUGCAGCAGAAAGAUGCUCACAAACGCGGGCCCUCGACUUGGACUUCCAGCCUCCAGAACCGGGAGCCAAAUGACCUUCUGCUCAUCCCAAGUAACCCCGCCAGUGCGACCUGUCACAGCUGCACAAAACAGACCAAGACAGUGACACUCUGUGCCGCCUGGGCCUCAGCCUGGGCCUCGGCCUGGAGCUGGAUUCGCCCUCCUGGAAGCAGCGCUGGGAGUCAGUCCAGGCGAUCUGCUGCAGAGGCCCUGGUGAGAGGCCCCGGAGGUUGGGAGGCCAUGCGGAGACUGAGACGCACACGGCCAGCAGCACCAGCAGCCAGACGAGGGCCAGGCCACACUGGACCCGCAGGGGCAGAUGGCACAGCCGGACACAGCCAGCAGCAGCUACCCACCCAGGCACCUCCAAGUCGCGGGCAUGUGUUAAGCUGAGCGGGUUGAGUCGUUUGCUACCCGCAGUUGGGGAUCAAUACGGUGCUCGAUGCUCGAUGAAUAUUCUUUGCAAGAAAGAAAGGACGGAGGGAGGGAGGGAGGAAAUCAGCAGGAGGAGCAGGACACGCACCCACAGGAGCCACCGCCUGAGGACCGCAGCCCAGAGCUGUCGUCCUGACCGCACCUUCUGUGCUGUGUGGUCUCCACUCCAUCUUUGACCAUCCCCGUGCCUCAGUUUCCCCAUUUGAAAACGGGGGUGGGGGACACUGCUCCGACCCCUCAGGAGGGACCCGGAGGAUGCCAACCAAGCAGCUUCCCAGGGUCACUUGCCAUCCCCCUGAGCCACAAGCCCCACGUCCAUGUCUGUAACGUGGACCCAGCCGGGUCUCCAGACCUGCGUGGACACAGAAGCCAGGCAGGUGACGGUCACCUGUUGGGUCAGGAAGGAGCCAGCCUACGGAUGCCUCUGCCAAUGGCUGGAGUUCCGUGUCCCACCUUUGUCUUACGAAAGGCAGCAGCACAAGCCGACCACGCCUCGGCCGAGGCCCAGCCUCAGGGAGGGAGUGGGAGACCCUUGGCCCCAUCGAAAGAGGCGGCUGCCUGGCACCAGCUGGUGCCAAGGGGAGCUGCAGGCCCGCCCGUCCAGGACAAACGUGGUCCGGACCCUCGUGCAAUGCUCCCAUUGGCAGCCAUCUAAAACCAACCUGGUGGGUCUUUAAGACCCACGAUGGUCAGUAAGACUGCUGGGGGCCAACACGGCCUUCAGACCGGGGCCACGCUGGGCCUUAAGGACACAAAUGUGUAAAGUGUCCAAAGAGGCCAGUCCGCAGAGACCGGGGAGCUGGGUGGGGUCUGGGGUGAGAGCUGAGAGGUCAGGGUCUCCCCUGAGGGGGGAGGAAACAGCUGGGGGCUGUGACCAGGCCAGGCCAUUAAAUGGUCACUUUAGAUGAGUGGCUCCUGUGUGCGUGGGUUGUACCUUAGCAGCGCUAUUUAAACACACACAGAAUCUUCACAGAAACCUCAGCGUCCACUCAACCUGGGCAGAAGCAGCAGCUCUCCUCUGGGUCCGGGAUGAAAGGGGUGAAAUGGGAGUUGAAAGCCCCGGGCUGGGGCACAGAGAGAGCUCCGGCCGCCUCGGUCUGCACUGCACCAGGGAGGACCUGGCCAGGUACAUGAUCGUCCCCUCCUCAAGGAAGAGACACCCGUCCUGGUCCCUCAGGACCCUCGUCCUCGAGGUCUGAGUGUCCAGAGGGGACCGGCCACGCUUCCACACUCAUCCUGACCCCAACUUCCAAGAAGGUAAUUUGGCGACAAUGACUGGGGCCCGGCGGUAGAGGGCUUGCGUCGGGCGUGCGAGCCGUGGGUGGAUCCUCAGCACCACAUAUAAAUAAGUAAAUAGAAUAAGGAUAUUUUUAAAAAAUGCUCACACCCUCCGACGGUCCCCUCCUCCCAGGGUUUAUCCUGAUUUUGCACAAAUGCACAGUGACGGGUUUCAGAUGUUCACAGCAAAAGGCUCCACAGAACCCAAGUGACUGUCAGUGGAAGAACGGUCACCUAAGUAAUAAGUCACACAAAAAAAAUCAGGCAGAGGACCGGGGACGUACCUAGAGGUGGAUCAUUUACCUGGUAGGGGAAGGCCCUGGGUCUGGUCCCCAGCACUGAAACCACAAUGAACACGGGGUAGUUCUCUGUGCACUAGUGUGGAGAGCUCUCCAGCCGCGUUGAGAAGGACGCACAGGGCACAAGGCAGGAGUGGGCAGAGGACGGUGGGGGUGGGGAGGGCCUGAGCAGGGCAGGCCUCUGCAGGCAGGAGCGACGGCCGCUCAGCCGCCACAGUCACGGGCUCUCGGACGGGUCACGUCUGUGGACUUUUUAAAAUUCUUAAAACUUAAUUGCUAAAAACAAUUAAUUCCAAUUUACUUUAAAUGAAGCACAAAGCAGAAUUUCCCCACAGCCACAGUGACUCAAUCCAGGGACCGAGGCCCAUUUGGACGGUGCAGGCAGUAGCUGGGUUUUGCACAACUGUGACGUCCGCAGCUGGCCCGAGGUACACAGGUGCAGAGGGGACACGAGACCCCACGCCUGCACCAGGGCAUCCUGGAGAGUGGAGAACUCCUAACCUCCAGCCCCGAGGGGGCCCGGGGUCGCCUGCUUCCAGAGACGGUGCAGAACCGCGGGCCACGAGCUGGACCCGCUCAGCAAACACCUGUGCCAUGACUGCCACGUGACGAACGUCCCCAGACCGCUCACGGCAGCCCCACCCUUGACAUCUUCUGUGGAUUCCUGGCCCCGUCCUCCCACCCCACCACCAGAUGGCCACGGAGAUGGAGGCGCAGAGAGGCCCCAGCACAGGCCCCAGCCCUGUGCUCCCCCCUCUUGGCCGUCCAGGGCCUGGGCUGAGCACGGUGUCCACACACCCAUGAGACCUUUCCUCCACCCGUCGGCACCAGGCACCGAGGACCCAGGGCAAGCAGGACAGUGGGUCCCGAGGCUGGGCGUGGGGCACUCCUGGACUCUGGCUCAGGUCCCACUGCCACCAACAAGCCCGUGACCCCAGUCAGGUCCAGGCCAGAGCAGGCGGGUGGCCUUAAGCAGGACGACUGUCAGAAUCACCAGGGGAAUGUGGAGAAGUCCGGAUCCCCAGGCUGGGGCCCUGGGAUCACCUGUCCACACCAGCUCCACACAGCAGACACAGUGAUGUCCCACACCAAUUAGACCAGAAUGGUAAGAAUCGAACCCAGUGCCUCACCCUGCCAGGCAGGCGCUCUACCACUGAGCCACGACCCGGCCCCAACGCCUCAGUACUUCUUGUGAAGAUUCCCCAAACAUGACAAUGUCCACAAAGUUUAGGAACCAGGACCUGCCCAGGGCCCUCAGCCACAGCUGGGCCCGCCCCCAGCGGCAGGCUUCACGGAGUCUCCGCUUUACAGGUGCAUCGAGUGUGGAAUCUCUGCCUUCUGCUGGGAUUGCCACAAGGUGGUCGCACAUGCACACACCGAGGUGGGCAGCGUCUCGGGCAGCAAGGUGUCCACUGUGUCCACCGGGGACCAGCCAUGCUCACGGGCACAGGGCUGUUUCCAAUCUUUGGGAAGCUGUUUCUUUCUACCGCUUCUCCCUUGGGACUGAGGGUCACCAGCCAGGAAGAAGGUGUCUUGGGUGGCUAGACCUGCAGGUGUGGAACCUGCGUCUACAGCACGGCCACCGUCUUCCCUUCCAUCUUGACUGUCCGCGCAUCUCCCAGACCAUGACGCCAGUCUUGAGGACGGGCACCAUUGUGUGCCACUGGCUUGCCCAGAACCCAGAACACAGAGGCGGAGCAGGAGGAUCGCGAGUUCAAGGCCAGCCUGAGCAAAAGCCAGGUGCUGAGCAGCUCGUAAGACACCCUGCAGCACUCCUCUGUCCACUCCUGCGUCCUGAAAGGCAGUGCCAAGCUGCUGUGGCCUGCGGCGCCGCCCAGAAGCUCCUGUGUGAGACCGUGAAGGGCGUUUAGAGGUGAAGUUUAGGGUUAGGAGAGCCUUGUCCUAAUCGGUGCGUGGGUCCCCUGACGUGGCUGAUGGGUGGUGACUCUGCAGGUGGAGACAGGUCCCUGGGGUUGGGCCUUUGGGUUUAUGUCUUGUCCCUAGUGGGCAGAGCUCUCUGCUUCCUGAUGGCCCUGUCCUGAGCUGCCUGCCCCCCACGCCCUUCCACCGUGAUGGUUGGCCUCCCUUCCGGCCCAGAGUCAUGGAGUCGUCGGCCGUGGCUGAACCUCGAGAUGCAGGCUGCCGGGUUCUUCCAACGUGGUUCCGCUGCCUGGGAUAGUUUUCUCCUGGAGCCGGCCAACUCCGGUUCAGGCUUCAGGGCUCACCCUAACAUGUCACUGCCUCAGGGAAGCCCUCCAGGACUGCAGGUAGGUGCUACCCUCCUCCUCCCCUCCCGGACCUCAGGCUCCCUGGUCCCUGCACAUCCCGGGGGCUACUGCCCAGACACAGCUUCUCAGAGAGGCCUUGCCCAGCCUCCACUCCAGACACCCAGAGCCGCCCUCCAGCCUGGGGCGUGUCCAGGGCACUCAUCACAACUAAUGGGUGUUAUCUGUCCCUGGCCUGCUGUCUGACGGCCAGGCGCAGGCCCAGGUCUGGCUGCUCUGUCCUCUCCAGCCCAGGCCGACCUGCACAGAGCAGGGCAAGCCCCAAUUCACCAAGGAAGCUGAACAUCCGUGGGGCUGGCACCGGCUGGAUUCAGGCGCCACUUCCUGUAAGAGCCAACAGGACGUGGGGAAAGGGCUGCGGGAGGGCCACCGCUGCUCAGGCCCUUCCCAAUGCACACGUCCCUUUCCGGGCUCAUCUGCCAGCUGCAGCUCAGGGGCCUGUAGUGAAUCACCGCUAAGGAGAGCCUGGCGCAGCUUCUUUUGCAACAACAAAAAUCUUUUAAAAAGAAAAGAAAUAAGAACCCUGGAGCCAGGGGAAACUGCGGACACCUGUCCCCAUGCCGCCAGACCAAGAUGUGAUAGGGGACUGGGCCUCCUCCAGGGUCCAGCUUUGAGCCACUUACAGAUGUUCGUAAAUCCUGGAUCCACACGCCGACACGCACUCACCGAAAGCCUCCGUUCCUGAGCUAUGAAAUCUGCAUGAGAACUUCACGGCCACUAGGUCAGUCCCUGUGCAAGGGCACAACCUACAAGCUGAGCAGCACACUGCUGGCGCGUAGUAGGUACUCACAGAAACAAUGCUUAUUUCAUGGUGGGAUGCUAAGUCAAAUAAUGAUGUAGACUCUCUAAUGCAGAAGCCAUCCACCCCAAGGGACCACCGAGCAUUUAAAAUGUGGCUGGCCCAGAGACAGGCUUUAAAACGCCUGAUUUGAAAAAUAAAUAAAUAAAAUUUUUUAAAAAAUUAAAAA
Molecule: non-coding RNA, 7310 nt
Organism: Ictidomys tridecemlineatus (thirteen-lined ground squirrel)
Lineage: Eukaryota; Metazoa; Chordata; Mammalia; Rodentia; Sciuridae
Source: RefSeq, a predicted model, not a curated record